UACGGGGGGGGCAAGCGUUGUUCGGAAUUACUGGGCGUAAAGGGCUCGUAGGCGGCCAACUAAGUCAGACGUGAAAUCCCUCGGCUUAACCGGGGAACUGCAUCUGAUACUGGAUGGCUUGAGUUCGGGAGAGGGAUGCGGAAUUCCAGGUGUAGCGGUGAAAUGCGUAGAUACCAGGAGGAACACCGGUGGCGAAGGCGGGUCUCUGGGCCGAUACUGACGCUGAGGAGCGAAAGCGUGGGGAGCGAACAGG
RNAcentral lists this ribosomal RNA (253 nucleotides) under uncultured bacterium. RNAcentral's name for it is "partial 16S ribosomal RNA". It matches the Rfam family "Bacterial small subunit ribosomal RNA", at positions 524 to 776 of the family's 1533-position model. The record is from RNAcentral.